RNAcentral lists this long non-coding RNA (2168 nucleotides) under Sorghum bicolor (sorghum). RNAcentral's name for it is "long non-coding RNA (SBIC_LNC010823)". Lineage: Eukaryota; Viridiplantae; Streptophyta; Magnoliopsida; Poales; Poaceae. The record is from RNAcentral.
UGGCUUCUGGAGUCUUCUAGAUGUAAAAUGAUUGCGGCACGUUGAUAUCUCUAUGUAAUCCCGACGUGUGGGCCUUUCUUCCGUAUUUCCUGAUAACCCCCUGCAGAAAUAGACAAACACCAAAACUCGUGGAAUUCUGUCAGAUAAAACCCUAAGUCUAGAUGUUGAUUUCAUUUAGAUCCUUUUCUUUGUUUAUUUGAUAAUUAAAUUUGAUACUUAAGGACCGUCAACAAACUCCCCCUAGCUUACCUCUUGCUCGUCCCUGAGCAAGGAUAGACUCAGCAAUGGAUCAUAAGUUGUUGCAAUAUCUUAAAAAUUUGACGGUACACAUGCUUUUAAAUAAGAUCUCAUCUCUGAGUUAGAGUAAACUGUCAAGAACUAAAACUUACUUACUUUACCUUUCACCCAUGGGACUUGUAACCGUCACUUCUGUCUUGAGUAGUUAAAAGAUAGAACAGUCUAGCCAAGUGCCAUGUCUCUUAUUCUUGAUCAGCUAUAGCUCUGGAGUUUUUGCAGAUUUUCAAAUAAAACUCAGAGAUUCCUUAUAUGACUCUCUAAAUCUCUCUUUUGUGGUAUUUCUGGAUCCUUACCAAGGCAGUGAUGGUAUAUGCCUUCUCUCAAGAUAUGUAGUAUUUGUGGUAUAAGGAAUAGUGACAUUGCCUUCUCUCUCACCCUACUCUAAUAAGGCUUUAAUAUCUGGAGCUCAUAGGUGGGAGACAGCUAAUACAUACUUACAAGACAUUUAUUGCAUAGUCAAACCAUGGAUCCAGAGAAACAAGUCAAUAAGUCAAAUCAAGAUGUGCAUGUGUGGCGAAUGAAUGGUGUAUGGUGAUGAUGGUGAUAACAAUGGUGGAAGUCUAAUUCUACUUUUGCUCUUUUGAGGGGAUACAUACCUUCCUUGCUUUUUGAAACUUUAUGAGGAGAAUGAGAUGCUCUAUCUUUCAUUUUUUUUCUUUCCUCUCAGGUGGGUAUCCUGUACCCCUAAUUCUACUGUCGGACACUUGUCCAUUUUUACCUCUCGUCUCACUCUCUCUUUUUUUUUCUUUUGAGGUUCCGGGCACUUGCCCCUUUUUAUUUCCUCGUAUAUUUUUUCUCUCCCUUCUCUUUUUUUAGAGCUCUCAUCUCAUGAGAUAAUAUAGCAAGUGAUAGUAACAAGAUAACUUGAGCAUUUAUUUCACAAGGAAAAACAGAAAUAUUUUUGGUUAUUCUCUCCCGGAUUAGGAGUAGAAUAUUUUUGGGUGGUUCUGGAGAUGGAAAUGAAUGGAUGGAUAUAUGUGGAUGCGUACUUCCGGAGUAGAAGCAGCAUGUAUGAGUGAACGUGCAAGUAAAUCUUAAUUUAACCACAUGACAAGCUCCUAAGGGUCUACACAGCUUGACCACACUCAAUGCUCAUAAGCAGUAAAUAGUAAAUGUGUGGUUCAUAGUCUAGCAAGCAUGUAUGUAUGGCUGUGGUAGGAAUUUAAACUCUCAUCAUACAGGAACUCAUCAUGUGUUAUUUUAAAGAUUUUCAAAGAUAAAAUUCUCUAGAAUUCUAGCAUCUCUAGGAACAGAUAAACAACAGCUCAACCUUUCCAUAUCAUAUCCGUUAACGACUUAGACUUUAGAUCAAGUACUCUCCCCAUAAUUUCAGGUUUAGAGCAGGUUUAAAUUAUAACAGUUAUGUCUAAACUUGAGAGAGAACUUCAAAUUUGCAAAUUAGGCAGAGCAACUUUUCAUCAUAUCCAUGCUAGAGUUUUAUUAUUAAGAUUCAGAUUAGCAUAGCCACUUUAUUUAUUUAUUAAACACACUAAGCAAAAAUAUAUAUAUAAGCACAAAAUCUUUAUUUGGUUUUUCAUAGUUUAUGUAUUUUAAUAUUCUAAUAUAAUAUAAGUAUAAAGAUAGGUAGAAAUACUUAGCGAGAUAAUGGGGGUGCUCUCCCCCAAGCUGAAUUUUGACGUAAUUUCUCUUGAUGUAGCUAGCAGGUGGCAGAGGUGUAUUUGAAAGUCAGCAACAUUCUGACAGCGAUUAGAAUGUCCUCCGUCUGCUAGUCUUCUUGAUUCUUAAAUUCUGUGGAGCUCAAAUAGACAACAAAGCUUGUGGAACUAAUUAAGUGUUAGCAUAAAUAUCUAGCCUUCAUCAUGUUGAGCUUCCUCAAUAAAUAUUACUCCCUGUUUUUAUAUUUUUAUUUU